UAUGUGAUCGUCUCUCGCAUAUCAAUAAGCGGAGGAAAAGAAACUAACAAGGAUUCCCCUAGUAACGGCGAGUGAAGCGGGAAGAGCUCAAAUUUGAAAUCUUAAAGGGUUUCCCUUUACGAAUUGUAGUUUAAAGAAGUGUUUUCUGUUGAGGUUUUGGUAAAAGUUCUUUGGAAUAGGACAUCAUAGAGGGUGAGAAUCCCGUAUUUGACCUUUACUUUCAACUUUGUGAUACACUUUCAGAGAGUCGGAUUGUUUGGGAAUGCAGUCCAAAAUGGGUGGUAAAUUUCAUCUAAAGCUAAAUAUUGGCGAGAGACCGAUAGCGAACAAGUACCGUGAGGGAAAGAUGAAAAGAACUUUGAAAAGAGAGUUAAACAGUACGUGAAAUUGUCAAAAGGGAAGCGUUUGACACCAGUGUUGUUUUUCUGAAAAUCAAUUAAAGAACUGUUUAUGCUAAGUUGUUUAGGCUUUAUCAGCUAUCUGUUUAGUUUUGAGCUUUUCUUUAAUGCACUUUUCAGUUAACAAGUCAACAUCAAUUUCUUUUGCUGUAAAAAGCUUGAGGAAGGUGGCUUGAGAUUCGUCUUAAGUGUUUAUAGCCUCUUGCCUAUGCAGUCGGAGAGAUUGAGGUCUGCAGCGUAGAUCCUUCGGGGCUAAAUGCAUUUGUGCUAAGUUAUAGCAUUUUAUAGACAACUUGUUGACUAUGAUUUGUCUUGUAGCUUACUCGCUUAUGUUAUUUUACCUACGCUUAGGAUGUUGAUAUGCAUGACUGAUAU
RNAcentral lists this ribosomal RNA (773 nucleotides) under uncultured Neocallimastigales. Its description in RNAcentral is "partial large subunit ribosomal RNA". It matches the Rfam family "Eukaryotic large subunit ribosomal RNA", at positions 24 to 641 of the family's 3401-position model. The record is from RNAcentral. Lineage: Eukaryota; Fungi; Neocallimastigomycota; Neocallimastigomycetes; Neocallimastigales.